GUGGGGAAUAUUGGACAAUGGGCGAAAGCCUGAUCCAGCCAUGCCGCGUGUGUGAAGAAGGUCUUCGGAUUGUAAAGCACUUUAAGUUGGGAGGAAGGGCAGUAAGUUAAUAUCUUGCUGUUUUGACGUUACCGACAGAAUAAGCACCGGCUAACUUCGUGCCAGCAGCCGCGGUAAUACGAAGGGUGCAAGCGUUAAUAGGAAUUACUGGGCGUAAAGCGCGCGUAGGUGGUUUUGUAAGUUGGAGGUGAAAUCCCCGGGCUCAACCUGGGAACUGCCUCCAAAACUGCAUGACUAGAGUACGGUAGAGGGUAGUGGAAUUUCCUGUGUAGCGGUGAAAUGCGUAGAUAUAGGAAGGAACACCAGUGGCGAAGGCGACUACCUGGACUGAUACUGACACUGAGGUGCGAAAGCGUGGGGAGCAAACAGGAUUAGAUACCCCUGUAGUCC
Molecule: ribosomal RNA, 450 nt
Filed under: uncultured bacterium
Lineage: Bacteria
Description: bacterial SSU rRNA
Rfam family: Bacterial small subunit ribosomal RNA
Source: RNAcentral